GGGAUAACUCCGGGAAACCGGGGCUAAUACCGGAUAAUAUUUUGAACCGCAUGGUUCAAUAGUGAAAGACGGUUUCGGCUGUCACUUAUAGAUGGACCCGCGCCGUAUUAGCUAGUUGGUAAGGUAACGGCUUACCAAGGCGACGAUACGUAGCCGACCUGAGAGGGUGAUCGGCCACACUGGAACUGAGACACGGUCCAGACUCCUACGGGAGGCAGCAGUAGGGAAUCUUCCGCAAUGGGCGAAAGCCUGACGGAGCAACGCCGCGUGAGUGAUGAAGGUCUUCGGAUCGUAAAACUCUGUUGUUAGGG
RNAcentral lists this ribosomal RNA (311 nucleotides) under uncultured Staphylococcus sp. RNAcentral describes it as "bacterial SSU rRNA". It matches the Rfam family "Bacterial small subunit ribosomal RNA", at positions 140 to 444 of the family's 1533-position model. The record is from RNAcentral. Lineage: Bacteria; Bacillati; Bacillota; Bacilli; Caryophanales; Staphylococcaceae.